UACGAGAGGUGCAAGCGUUAUUCGGAAUCAUUGGGCGUAAAGGGUGCGUAGGCGGCAAUACAAGUCUGUUGUUAAAGACCCUGGCUUAACCAGGGAAGUGCAAUGGAAACUGUAAUGCUAGAGGGUGAGAGAGAGAAGUGGAAUUCCAGGAGUUAGCGGUCAAAUGCAUAGAUCUCUGGAGGAACACCGAUGGCGAAGGCAGCUUCUUGGCUCAUUCCUGACGUUGAUGCACGAAAGCGUGGGGA
Molecule: ribosomal RNA, 245 nt
Filed under: uncultured bacterium
Lineage: Bacteria
Description: partial 16S ribosomal RNA
Rfam family: Bacterial small subunit ribosomal RNA
Source: RNAcentral